UACGGAGGGAGCUAGCGUUAUUCGGAAUUACUGGGCGUAAAGCGCACGUAGGCGGCUUUGUAAGUCAGAGGUGAAAGCCUGGAGCUCAACUCCAGAACUGCCUUUGAGACUGCAUCGCUUGAAUCCAGGAGAGGUGAGUGGAAUUCCGAGUGUAGAGGUGAAAUUCGUAGAUAUUCGGAAGAACACCAGUGGCGAAGGCGGCUCACUGGACGACUGUUGACGCUGAGGUGCGAAAGCGUGGGGAGCAAACAGG
RNAcentral lists this ribosomal RNA (253 nucleotides) under uncultured bacterium. Its description in RNAcentral is "partial 16S ribosomal RNA". It matches the Rfam family "Bacterial small subunit ribosomal RNA", at positions 524 to 776 of the family's 1533-position model. The record is from RNAcentral.